Long non-coding RNA from Cyprinus carpio (common carp), 1281 nucleotides. The record is from Ensembl. Lineage: Eukaryota; Metazoa; Chordata; Actinopteri; Cypriniformes; Cyprinidae.
AUGCUCCCCUACGUGCUCUUCGGCAUUCGAGAGAUCCCUCAGGCCUCCACGGGCUUCACCCCGUUUGAAUUGCUCUUCGGCCGACAGCCCCACGGUCUGCUCGACGUUGCCCGAGAGGCCUGGGAACAACAGCCGGCGGUACACCGGACCACCAUCGAACACGUGCGUGAGAUGCGGGAGCGGAUCGACAAAGUAAUGCCCAUCAUCCGGGAACACCUCGUCAGGGCGCAGCAGGCGCAGCAACGGCAUUACAACCGGGCGGCCCAACCACGGGAGUUCCAGCGAGGAGACCACGUCCUGGUGCUGGUGCCCACGCCCGCUUGCAAGUUCUUGGCCACCUGGCAGGGUCCCUACACCGUUACGGAAAAGGUCGGCCCCGUUACGUACCGUGUAUGGCAGCCAGGUAGAAGGAGGGCGGAGCAACUGUACCAUAUUAAUCUGCUGAAGCGCUGGGUCGGGACCGGGCCCCAGCUCUCCGCCUACACCAGCUCGACUCCCGUGGUUGUCGAUAUGGACCCCCAACUCUCCGCCACCCAGAAGUCGGAGCUGCAGCACCUGGUCAGUCAGUUUCCGGUUGUGUUCUCCCCCCAGCCUGGGUGGACCCAUGUCUUGGAGCACGACGUCCACACACCACCAGGGACCAUCGUCCGGCAACGGCCCUACCGGGUCCCGGAGGCUCGGCGACACGCCAUCGAGGAGGAGGUACAGGAGAUGCUGAGGUUAGGGGUAAUUGAACCAUCACACAGCCCAUGGUCCAGCCCCAUCGUCAUGGUUCCAAAGCCCGACGGCACCCUCCGCUUCUGUAACGACUUCCGCCACCUGAACGAGGUCUCCGAGUUUGACUGUUACCCCAUGCCCCGUGUCGACGAGUUACUGGACCGAUUGGGAAGGGCCCGGUUCAUCUCCACUCUCGACCUUACAAAGGGCUACUGGCAGGUCCCCUUGACGGAUCAGGCGAAACCGAAAACGGCAGUACCGGGUCCUUCCCUUCGGCCUACACGGGGCCCCGGCCACCUUCCAACGGCUGAUGGACGUCCUCCUCCGGCCGCACCUACGCAACUACGCCGGGCUGGCCUGACCGCCAACCCCCGGAAGUGUCAUCUGGCCCUUGCCGAAGCCAAAUACUUGGGGUACCAGGUGUGCCGCGGCCUCAUCAGACCUCAAGAGAAGAAGGUGGCAGCUAUCCUCUCCGCGCCGCGGCCCACCUCAAAACACAGGUGCGGGCCUUUUUGGGGUUGGCGGGGUAUUACCGCUGCUUUAUCCCUAACUUCUCCUCCUUAG